GCAGGUCUCUCUUAUAGUUCGGAGAAGCUAGUUGACAUAGAGAUUAUGUAUCAGUCGUGAGUGAUGCUGUUAGUCCCGUGUAUGUGGUCGGUGCAAUGGUGAAUGGGAGUGUAAAGAAGGACUAUAUGCAUGAUUAUAUUUCAGUUUCUGGAUAUCCACUAUCUGCCAAAUGCUGCAUAGGACUGAUCUGUGAGGCGUUGGAGCAAAAAUGGAACAUCUUCUAAAUAUAUUCCGUUUGUGAGGAAGUUAUUCAAUUUAAGCAGCAACAUCCCUCCUAAAUUUAUAUUCUUUAUUUUGUGAAUUAAUUAGAAUAAAUAACAAGAAGAAUUGAUACAUUUCUCCUUACAAAUCUAUGAAAAGGAUGAGUUCUACUA
Prosopis cineraria is the source of this 374-nucleotide long non-coding RNA. RefSeq lists it as uncharacterized. Lineage: Eukaryota; Viridiplantae; Streptophyta; Magnoliopsida; Fabales; Fabaceae. The transcript is spliced from 3 exons. The record is from RefSeq and is a predicted model, not a curated record.